GAUGAACGCUGGCGGUAUGCUUAACACAUGCAAGUCGAACGGACUCUUCGGAGUUAGUGGCGGACGGGUGAGUAACGCGUGAGAAUCUGGCUUUGGGUUCGGGACAACCACUGGAAACGGUGGCUAAUACCGGAUGUGCCGAGAGGUAAAAGAGAAAUUGCCUGAAGAUGAGCUCGCGUCUGAUUAGCUAGUUGGUGAGGUAAAGGCUCACCAAGGCAGCGAUCAGUAGCUGGUCUGAGAGGAUGACCAGCCACACUGGGACUGAGACACGGCCCAGACUCCUACGGGAGGAGGCAGUGGGGAAUUUUCCGCAAUGGGCGAAAGCCUGACGGAGCAAUACCGCGUGAGGGAAGAAGGCUCUUGGGUUGUAAACCUCUUUUCUUAGGGAAGAACAAAAUGACGGUACCUAAGGAAUCAGCAUCGGCUAACCCCGUG
RNAcentral lists this ribosomal RNA (435 nucleotides) under uncultured bacterium. Its description in RNAcentral is "partial 16S ribosomal RNA". It matches the Rfam family "Bacterial small subunit ribosomal RNA", at positions 28 to 507 of the family's 1533-position model. The record is from RNAcentral.